CAAAAGAGAGGUGCCCUGGUGCAGG
Molecule: non-coding RNA, 25 nt
Filed under: Rattus norvegicus (Norway rat)
Lineage: Eukaryota; Metazoa; Chordata; Mammalia; Rodentia; Muridae
Source: RNAcentral